GCUACGGCCACAACACCCUGAAAGCGCCGAUCUCGUCUGAUCUCAGAAGCUAUCUGGGGCGGGGCCUGGUUAGUACCUGGAUGGGAGACGGCCUGGGAAUACCAGGUGUCGUAAGCU
This 117-nucleotide ribosomal RNA is filed under the name Xenopus laevis (African clawed frog). The record is from RNAcentral. Lineage: Eukaryota; Metazoa; Chordata; Amphibia; Anura; Pipidae.